This 1124-nucleotide long non-coding RNA is filed under the name Cavia porcellus (domestic guinea pig). RNAcentral's name for it is "lncRNA (ENSCPOG00000033714.1)". The record is from RNAcentral. Lineage: Eukaryota; Metazoa; Chordata; Mammalia; Rodentia; Caviidae.
GGGCGUGGCAGCCUUGUAAACCCCUUCCUCAACAAGGACUUAACUCCACCCACCCCCGUCCCUAAACCCAGGUCCCGAAGUUCCCGCAGCAGCGGGCGACACUGCGACCUCCCCGGCUCCAAGCCCCAUCCCUCCGCCGUACGGACGCCCCUCUGCUCCGCUGCGGCCUCCUCACCUGAACCCGCUCUGCUGAAGGCGCGCCAGCAGCCUCCGCCCGCAGGCCCGAGUCCGACCCGGCCGAGGCCCCGCCGCCGGCCCAGGCCCCCACCCCCUCGACCCCCGCGGCCCGGCCCUCCCGGCGCCCUUUCCCCGCCCGCCCUGCCGCCGCCACUUCCGUCAUCCUCCGGAAGCGGCCCGGGCCGUCGCGGGGCCCACAUCCGGCCUGGGCCGCCCGCGCCCCGGCCCAACCCCGCUACUGCAGGAGCCCGGGAGACAGCUGCGGCACCGCAGGGUCUACACUGUUCCCACGACUGCAGACGAACUACGGGCCGGACCCGCUCUGGGUGUCAGGUCUUUUGUCCCAGAGAUGAGGAAAAUGGUGAAGACAUUGUCUUUACUAAUCUGAUAGAAAAGCCAAUUUGUCAACUCACCAAGAAGCAAGCCCUCCCUGUGAAUGUACAGACUACUGAGGGGACAGCCAGACGCCAGCCUCUUCAGGUGCACAGGCUGGGAAACAAGAAGAGCCAACCCCUCACUUCCCACCCCUGUAAGCGACCAGCUGAUCCAGAGAAACACAGGCUGCAAUGACAGCUAUUGAGGUGGAAUACAAUGUAAUGCUUGUAGCAUUUAGUGUGUCACUGACUUUGCGAGUCUAAAGCCAGUGGUCUGAUCAUCUGUCUAUUCAGAGGAUGGCAGUAUAUAGUAUAGCAUGUGGUAUAUUUUAAUUGGCUUUAUUCUGUUUUGUUUUGCUUGGUUUUAUUCUCUUUAAAAUAAAUUUUUUUAACUGAAAAAGAAAAGAAAAACCAAUUUCUCAUGUUGUUUUAUUUUAUUAGUAGCUUGUAAAGUCCAACCUGUUUUCAUACAUCGCUUGCAAAGUGCCUAUUCGUAUCUUUUGUCCAUUUGUACUUCAUUUUGUUCUUUUGGGAGAACUCUUUAUUUAUCAACCUUUUAUUUCUUAUGUUGCA